AUGACUGUUACUCUCCAGGAUGUUUCGAUGAUCCUGGCACUUCCCAUCGAGGGAGUUCCUGUUUGUUUUAGCACUGGUGCUGCUGGUUGGCGCGCUAGGAUGUUUGAGCUUAUCGGUGCGGUUCCUGCGGUGCCGGAAGACCCGACUAAAAACAGAGUCCCCGCCGGCGCGACUUAUGUUUGGAUUGUAGAACAUUUUAGCCAGUGCCCUGAUGAUGCUAGCGAGGAGACGGUGCAACAAUAUGCACGCGCAUACUUGUGGUAUGUGAUCUCGAGGACUCUGUUUGCUGACGGUGGUGGCAGGACCGCUCCGUGGAUGUGGCUGAAGGCAUUAUCUGGUUGGGAUAGUAAACAGAGCCGGGGUUCGGCGGCACUUGCCUACUUGUACCGUCAGUUGGAUGAGGCGUGUUGUAGGCGCAAAGAUGAAGCUAGUAUUGGUGGUCCGUUGGUCCUACUUUCGGUUUGGAUGUGGGAACACUUCUCAGUUGGACGACCGAGAGUGAUUGGUUACGACGCCUGGGAUGAUCAUGACAACCCGCUACGGAAGCCUACAUGGGCGUACAAGUGGGACAAGGUUUCGGAGUUCACUGGUGACCCAAACAGGAUGUACAGGGAGUACACCAAUGAGUUUGACACGCUAACCUCCGAGCAGGUGACAUGGCAGCCAUAUGGAGCGCGGGACAAUUUUGCUUUCAUCUGUGAUUUCCAGUUGAACCCGAAGUGCACGGAGGAAUCACAUCUUUGGCUGAUGCGGUGCCCAUUGAUAUGCUUAUAUGCAGUCGAGUUCCACCUUCCACAGCGUGUGAUGACCCAAUUUGGAUUAUUUCAGGAUACACCGCCGAAAUGGAAGGACACGGAUGUCGCGCUUCACGGCUUGGACAAAAUGAAACAGAAGAAGAUCAAGAACUGGGAGUCAUAUCAUGACAAGUUCAUCAAGAAAUGGAAUUACGUCGUGAGGGUGGCUAAUGAUAACCGACAAGUACAUCUCCAAGAGUACGAUGAAGCUGCAUUUGACAAAUAUCUUCGUUGGUUUCUUAGCGAGUCCCGUGUGGAGUUAUGCCCACCUGCUUAUGAGGAGGGCAUAUUGGAGGCGCCCACAGGUUUUGAAGGGACUGCCAACCUUGAGUACAACAGGCUCAUCAGAGAGGGCAGACAAACCGGAUUCGCUCCUGUGAUCAACUUUAUUUGUAGCGCUACUCGGCUACGUUCCUUAGCUCAUCUUCUUGGUUGCCGUACUGUCGAGGCCGACAUGCCCACCCAGUCGAGGUCCACUUCUUCUGAAGAGGAGGCGGCCGCCGAGAUGACCCUGAGGGGGUUUAUGGAUGAUGCACCUCAGCCUAGUCAGCCUAUUGAGCGGCGUCACUUCAACUUAAAGCCUAGGAAGACCUUCAACCGUUAUACACCGGAGGCAUGGAACAAGAAACAAAAGAGGACCGUUGUUGAGUCCGAGAACGAGUUUGAGGACGAGGAGGAGCCGGCACCGAAGAAGGUUCUGAGGAGGUUGAAGAGGGUCGGGGUGGAGCCGGGGACGAAGAAGGUUGUGAGGCAGGCGAGGGGGAAGAAGUAA
This 1566-nucleotide ribosomal RNA is filed under the name Triticum aestivum (bread wheat). RNAcentral describes it as "partial small subunit ribosomal RNA". Lineage: Eukaryota; Viridiplantae; Streptophyta; Magnoliopsida; Poales; Poaceae. The record is from RNAcentral.